Molecule: non-coding RNA, 949 nt
Filed under: Uranoscopus tosae
Lineage: Eukaryota; Metazoa; Chordata; Actinopteri; Uranoscopiformes; Uranoscopidae
Description: 12S ribosomal RNA
Rfam family: Bacterial small subunit ribosomal RNA
Source: RNAcentral
CAAAGGCUUGGUCCUGACUUUACUAUCAACUUUAGCUAAACUUACACAUGCAAGUAUCCGCACCCCUGUGAGAAUGCCCUACAGUUCCCUGCCCGGGUACAAGGAGCUGGUAUCAGGCACAUUAAAUUUAGCCCACGACACCUUGCUUAGCCACACCCCCAAGGGAACUCAGCAGUGAUAAACAUUAAGCCAUAAGUGAAAACUUGACUUAGUCAAAGCUAAGAGGGCCGGUAAUACUCGUGCCAGCCACGGCGGUUAUACGAGAGGCCGAAGUUGAUAGCCCCCGGCGUAUAGAGUGGUUAAGAUAACCUAAAUACUAAAGCCGAAUACCCUCAAAGCUGUUAUACGCACCCGAGAGUAAGAAGUACAAUCACGAAAGUGGCUUUACAACACCUGAACCCACGAAAGCUACGGUACAAACUGGGAUUAGAUACCCCACUAUGCCUAGCCCUAAACAUCGAUAGCAACUUACACCUGCUAUCCGCCCGGGAACUACGAGCAUCAGCUUAAAACCCAAAGGACUUGGCGGUGCUUUAGAUCCACCUAGAGGAGCCUGUCCUAGAACCGAUAAUCCCCGUUAAACCUCACCCUUCCUAGUCAUUUCCGCCUAUAUACCGCCGUCGUAAGCUCACCCUAUGAAGGACCAAUAGUGAGCACAAUCGGCACAGCCCAGAACGUCAGGUCGAGGUGUAGCGCACGGAAGGGGAAGAUGAUGGGCUACACUCCCUAAAGGAGGGAAUACGAAUGGUGAGCUGAAACGCUUGCACAGAAGGAGGAUUUAGAAGUAAGCAAGGAGCAGAGUGCCCUGCUGAACACGGCUCUGAAGCGCGCACACACCGCCCGUCACCCUCCCCAAGACUGACGUUUAAUUUUUUCUAAACCAAUAAUAUAGUAAAGGUGAGGCAAGUCGUAACAUGGUAAGUGCACCGGAAGGUGUACUUAGAAUAAC